Molecule: long non-coding RNA, 244 nt
Filed under: Mytilus galloprovincialis (Mediterranean mussel)
Lineage: Eukaryota; Metazoa; Mollusca; Bivalvia; Mytilida; Mytilidae
Source: RNAcentral
GCCACUGACAUUGUCUCUGACUUGGGACUGACACAAAGUCAAGUUGCAGUGUUUAUUAAAGUUUUGGACCCCUUCACCGUUUUAUUUCAUCAGUGAAAAUACGAAAAGUUAAAAAUAACCUUAGAUUGUACAAUAAAAAUCAAGUUCUGAAACAGCACUUAUCUUUGUAAAAAAAAAAUUCUUACAGACAACAAAAUCACAACAGAAACAUUCUUAUUAAUUUAUACCAUAUCAAGAAAAGCAC